This 729-nucleotide ribosomal RNA is filed under the name Triticum aestivum (bread wheat). Its description in RNAcentral is "partial small subunit ribosomal RNA". Lineage: Eukaryota; Viridiplantae; Streptophyta; Magnoliopsida; Poales; Poaceae. The record is from RNAcentral.
CAUCAAACCAAAGGCCGAGUGAGUUCAUGUAAAAAGGAGGCCGAGUGAGCCCAUCACUGGGAGAACACAGCCACACACAACGCCGACGGCUAUCCCAGCUCGGCACCUCCGCCGCCGUACUCCCUCCAUCUCCCCAAUCUCGUAUUUGCUUUCUCUGCACUCCCCAACCUCUCGUGCGCCGAAGCGGACAGGGGACCAGCUCGAGAUCGGGCCGAGGAGACCGGUGACCGUUGAGCACCACCGGCGGCAACCGGCGUGGUGGUGGCGGAGGAGGAGGAACAUGGGCAGCGUCGGCGGCGCCGGUGGUGAACAGAGCGCGAGCGGCGGAGCGGGCGGGGGCAGGCGGCGGCGGCCUCUCGCUCUCGGGCUUGGGAGGAAGAGGAAGAGCUCAUCUCAUGCAAGGUCAUCUCGCCGAAGCACACUUACAACUUACAAGCUGUGGCCGUAGCCACACCUGUUCUACAGCGCCAGUAAUGGAAAGGCCAUUCCCAAAUUCUGACACCUCAAUCUCAAUAUGUGUACAUAUCACCAGGUAAUAGAGGAUGUUCCCAAACAAAUGCAAGAUGUGCAUGAGAAACAAAUGAGUAAUUACAGAGUUGAUAGCUUAGCAGCUGAGGUGAUCCUCCUAUCGUAAACUCUUUAUGCAGAUGGUACUUAUCAUUGUACCAGAUCUAUCAAUCUUGUUCAUGAGGCAACAAAUCUAGCUAUUGACGGUAAUAACGUACUUAC